GGGCUUGACAUCCCACGAACCUGCCUGAAAGGGCGGGGUGCCCGCAAGGGAGCGUGGAGACAGGUGGUGCAUGGCUGUCGUCAGCUCGUGUCGUGAGAUGUUGGGUUAAGUCCCGCAACGAGCGCAACCCUCACCCCUAGUUGCCACCGGGUAAAGCCGAGCACUCGAGGGGAACUGCCAGCGUCAAGCUGGAGGAAGGCGGGGAUGACGUCAAGUCAUCAUGCCCCUUACGUCCUGGGCUACACACGUGCUACAAUGGCCGGUACAAAGGGACGCGGGACCGCGAGGUGGAGCCAAUCCCAAAAAACUGGUCUAAGUUCAGAUUGCAGUCUGCAACUCGACUGCAUGAAGGAGGAAUCGCUAGUAAUCGCGCAUCAGCACGGCGCGGUGAAUACGUUCCCGGGCCUUGUACACACCGCCCGUCACACCACGAAAGCUGUCUGUACUCGAAGUCGCUGAG
This 460-nucleotide ribosomal RNA is filed under the name uncultured Methylomirabilota bacterium. RNAcentral's name for it is "bacterial SSU rRNA". It matches the Rfam family "Bacterial small subunit ribosomal RNA", at positions 977 to 1434 of the family's 1533-position model. The record is from RNAcentral. Lineage: Bacteria; Methylomirabilota (SeqCode).